This 72-nucleotide transfer RNA is filed under the name Thermochaetoides thermophila DSM 1495. RNAcentral's name for it is "tRNA-Arg (ACG) (tRNA-Arg-ACG-3-1)". It matches the Rfam family "tRNA". Rfam says of the family: Transfer RNA (tRNA) molecules are approximately 80 nucleotides in length. Their secondary structure includes four short double-helical elements and three loops (D, anti-codon, and T loops). Lineage: Eukaryota; Fungi; Ascomycota; Sordariomycetes; Sordariales; Chaetomiaceae. The record is from RNAcentral.
GGUCCGCUGGCGUAAUGGCAGCGCGUCUGACUACGGAUCAGGAGGUUCCAGGUUCGACCCCUGGGUGGAUCG